GUUAGAUCCCAGCUCACCCAUUAACAAGAUAACAUUGCAAACAAUAAGAUGCAGAUAGCAGGACUAGUUUAUAUCAGAUUGUGUGAAGAGUUAGAUCAAAGAGCCAGUAAAGCCAUGAGAUUCCAAUAGCACAUGGCUUUGAAAGCACUUAUGUAACAAAGCAAGUGGGGGAUGUUCCUAUAGAGAUUGUUUUAGUACUCUAACCUCCAUUACUUGUCUACUAAAAACACACUAUGAACCUUUGUUGGGAACAGAGUAUUUAAACAUCACCUCCACCCAAUCUAAG
Pelobates cultripes (western spadefoot toad) is the source of this 286-nucleotide non-coding RNA. Lineage: Eukaryota; Metazoa; Chordata; Amphibia; Anura; Pelobatidae. The record is from the annotation of a GenBank genome assembly.